RNAcentral lists this unclassified non-coding RNA (310 nucleotides) under Hevea brasiliensis (rubber tree). Lineage: Eukaryota; Viridiplantae; Streptophyta; Magnoliopsida; Malpighiales; Euphorbiaceae. The record is from RNAcentral.
CAAUAUUACAAAUUUGCAACAAAUGAAUUAAAAAAUAGAGGAAGAAAAAGAGAGGUUACUUUGUUGUGCUGUGUUUGCGAUGUUGCAGUGUUGUGAUUGCCGACUAUGGCACUAAGGAGGCACAUACAAAGCUAGGGGAUUGAUGAGGUAGGGUGGUAGUGGGCAGAGGAGAAGAAAUGAACUUGGUUGGAACGAUCUCGCUUUGGGAGCUCAACCUUGAGAGAAUCAGUUUCCCUUUGGACAAAUCCAAUUCCCAUUUGAGAGCCAAAGCUUGGCUAAUAGUGACUUCCCAUUUAGCAACAGAGGAUAG